UGGAAGUAAAAAUCGUAACAAGGUUUCCGUAGGUGAACCUGCGGAAGGAUCAUUACCGAGUGUAGGGUUCCUAGCGAGCCCACCUCCCACCCGUGUUUACUGUACCUUAGUUGCUUCGGCGGGCCCGCCAUUCAUGGCCGCCGGGGGCUCUCAGCCCCGGGCCCGCGCCCGCCGGAGACACCACGAACUCUGUCUGAUCUAGUGAAGUCUGAGUUGAUUGUAUCGCAAUCAGUUAAAACUUUCAACAAUGGAUCUCUUGGUUCCGGCAUCGAUGAAGAACGCAGCGAAAUGCGAUAACUAGUGUGAAUUGCAGAAUUCCGUGAAUCAUCGAGUCUUUGAACGCACAUUGCGCCCCCUGGUAUUCCGGGGGGCAUGCCUGUCCGAGCGUCAUUGCUGCCCAUCAAGCACGGCUUGUGUGUUGGGUCGUCGUCCCCUCUCCGGGGGGGACGGGCCCCAAAGGCAGCGGCGGCACGCGUCCGAUCCUCGAGCGUAUGGGGCUUUGUCACCCGCUCUGUAGGCCCGGCCGGCGCUUGCCGAACGCAAAUCAAUCUUUCCAGGUGACCUCGAUCAGUACGUACG
RNAcentral lists this ribosomal RNA (579 nucleotides) under Aspergillus flavus. RNAcentral's name for it is "partial 18S ribosomal RNA". The stretch from base 237 to 390 matches the Rfam family "5.8S ribosomal RNA". Lineage: Eukaryota; Fungi; Ascomycota; Eurotiomycetes; Eurotiales; Aspergillaceae. The record is from RNAcentral.